RNAcentral lists this ribosomal RNA (1250 nucleotides) under Salmonella enterica. Its description in RNAcentral is "partial 23S ribosomal RNA". It matches the Rfam family "Bacterial large subunit ribosomal RNA", at positions 1 to 1191 of the family's 2925-position model. Lineage: Bacteria; Pseudomonadati; Pseudomonadota; Gammaproteobacteria; Enterobacterales; Enterobacteriaceae. The record is from RNAcentral. RNAcentral also lists the same sequence under 1 other name.
GGUUAAGCGACUAAGCGUACACGGUGGAUGCCCUGGCAGUCAGAGGCGAUGAAGGACGUGCUAAUCUGCGAUAAGCGCCGGUAAGGUGAUAUGAACCGUUAUAACCGGCGAUUUCCGAAUGGGGAAACCCAGUGUGACUCGUCACACUAUCAUUAACUGAAUCCAUAGGUUAAUGAGGCGAACCGGGGGAACUGAAACAUCUAAGUACCCCGAGGAAAAGAAAUCAACCGAGAUUCCCCCAGUAGCGGCGAGCGAACGGGGAGGAGCCCAGAGCCUGAAUCAGCAUGUGUGUUAGUGGAAGCGUCUGGAAAGGCGCGCGAUACAGGGUGACAGCCCCGUACACAAAAGCGCAUGUGCUGUGAGCUCGAUGAGUAGGGCGGGACACGUGGUAUCCUGUCUGAAUAUGGGGGGACCAUCCUCCAAGGCUAAAUACUCCUGACUGACCGAUAGUGAACCAGUACCGUGAGGGAAAGGCGAAAAGAACCCCGGCGAGGGGAGUGAAAAAGAACCUGAAACCGUGUACGUACAAGCAGUGGGAGCCCCACCACUAAGCCAGUGGUGAACUCCACAUACGCAUCCUUUGCUGAGGAUACGGUUAACGGAGCGAAAGCGACGUUCAACCGCAAAAGAAGCAGAGGGGGCUUAGUGGUGGGGUGACUGCGUACCUUUUGUAUAAUGGGUCAGCGACUUAUAUUCUGUAGCAAGGUUAACCGAAUAGGGGAGCCGGAGGGAAACCGAGUCUUAAUUGGGCGUUAAGUUGCAGGGUAUAGACCCGAAACCCGGUGAUCUAGCCAUGGGCAGGUUGAAGGUUGGGUAACACUAACUGGAGGACCGAACCGACUAAUGUUGAAAAAUUAGCGGAUGACCUGUGGCUGGGGGUGAAAGGCCAAUCAAACCGGGAGAUAGCUGGUUCUCCCCGAAAGCUAUUUAGGUAGCGCCUCGUGAAUUCAUCUCCGGGGGUAGAGCACUGUUUCGGCUAGGGGGCCAUCCCGGCUUACCAACCCGAUGCAAACUGCGAAUACCGGAGAAUGUUAUCACGGGAGACACACGGCGGGUGCUAACGUCCGUCGUGAAGAGGGAAACAACCCAGACCGCCAGCUAAGGUCCCAAAGUCAUGGUUAAGUGGGAAACGAUGUGGGAAGGCCCAGACAGCCAGGAUGUUGGCUUAGAAGCAGCCAUCAUUUAAAGAAAGCGUAAUAGCUCACUGGUCGAGUCGGCCUGCGCGGAAGAUGUAACGGGGCUAAACCAUG